RNAcentral lists this ribosomal RNA (863 nucleotides) under Anelosimus elegans. RNAcentral's name for it is "partial 16S ribosomal RNA". Lineage: Eukaryota; Metazoa; Arthropoda; Arachnida; Araneae; Theridiidae. The record is from RNAcentral.
CUAUCAUUUGUUUUUUAAUUAAAAACUAGAAUGAAAGGUUAUACAUUCAAAUUUCUUUAUUAAUUUUUAAUAAAUAAUUUAUAUUAAAUAUAAAAAUAUAUUUAUAAAAAAAAAAGACGACAAGACCCUAUUAAAUUUUACUUAUAGUUUAGCUGGGGAAGCUUUUCAAUUAAAAUUUUUUAAAUUAAAUAAAUAAAAAUCUAAUAAAAUUAAAAUUUUAAUAAAUUACUAUAGGGAUAACAGCAUUAUAUUUUUUUAAAGUUCAUAUUAAAAAAAAUGAUUGUGACCUCGAUGUUGAAUUAUAUUUUCUAUAUUUAAUGCAAUAAUUAUAAAAGUAGAUCUGUUCGAUCUUUAAAAUAUUACAUGAUUUGAGUUCAAACCGGUGUAAACCAGGUUGGUUUUUAUCUUUUUAUAUAUUUUUCUAGUACGAAAGGACAAAAAAAUUUUUAUUUUAAUAAAUUAGCAAAUAAAUGCAUUAGAUUUAGAAUCUAAUUAUAUUUAAUAAUUUUUUUUAUUAAUCCUUUAUUAUCUAUUAUUAUACUUUUAAUUUCAGUAGCAUUUUAUACAAUUUUAGAACGAAAAAUUUUAAGAUAUAUUCAAAUUCGAAAAGGACCAAAUAAAGUAGGAUUUUUAGGAAUUUUACAACCUUUUAGUGAUGCUAUUAAAUUAUUUAAUAAAAAUUUAAUUUCAUCUGAAAGAAUAAAUUUUAUAUUAUCAUAUUCAAUACCAGCAUUAUCUUUAAUUUUAAGAAUAAUAAUUGUAUUUAUAUUACCAAUAUAUUUUUAUUCUUCAUUUGAUAAUAAAAAUAAUAUUUUAAUAUUCUUUGUAAUUUCAAGAUUAUCAGUAUAUUCUAUUAUAUCAUG